RNAcentral lists this ribosomal RNA (249 nucleotides) under uncultured bacterium. Its description in RNAcentral is "partial 16S ribosomal RNA". It matches the Rfam family "Bacterial small subunit ribosomal RNA", at positions 28 to 280 of the family's 1533-position model. The record is from RNAcentral.
GACGAACGCUGGCGGCGUGCUUAACACAUGCAAGUCGAACGAUGAAGCCUUUCGGGGUGGAUUAGUGGCGAACGGGUGAGUAACACGUGGGCAAUCUGCCCUGUACUUUGGGAUAAGCCUUGGAAACGGGGUCUAAUACCGGAUAUCACUUACCUCCGCAUGGGGUUUGGUUGAAGUUACUGCGGUACAGGAUGAGCCCGCCGGCCGUAUCAGCUUGUUGGUGGGGUAGUGGCCUACCAAGGCGACGAC